GGAGGUUCCACCCAUUGAGCUUGACAAAGGAGAGGAGCGAAAGCACAAAAAACAGAAGAAGAGCGAAGCAUUGAAGGAGAAAACUUCAAAUGUUGAGGAUAAGGAACCAGCCAAAAAGUCUAGUAAGAAGGCUAAACAAAAUAAAGCAAGUGCCAUUGAUGAUGGAGAAACUCCUUUCGCGGACCUUUUUAUCUCCGACUUAUCAAACCCAUUGACAGGCAACCGGAAGGUCAGUAAUCA
Molecule: unclassified non-coding RNA, 240 nt
Filed under: Hevea brasiliensis (rubber tree)
Lineage: Eukaryota; Viridiplantae; Streptophyta; Magnoliopsida; Malpighiales; Euphorbiaceae
Source: RNAcentral